This is a non-coding RNA of Pteropus alecto (black flying fox), 73 nucleotides long. The record is from Rfam. Lineage: Eukaryota; Metazoa; Chordata; Mammalia; Chiroptera; Pteropodidae.
GGUUCCACAGAGUAGUGGUUAGCAUGUCUGCUUUACACGCAGAAGGUCCUGGGUUCGAGCCCCAGCGGAGCCA